Molecule: ribosomal RNA, 292 nt
Filed under: uncultured bacterium
Lineage: Bacteria
Description: partial 16S ribosomal RNA
Rfam family: Bacterial small subunit ribosomal RNA
Source: RNAcentral
GUGCCAGCAGCCGCGGUAAUACGAAGGGGGCUAGCGUUGUUCGGAAUCACUGGGCGUAAAGGGCGCGUAGGCGGCCGUUCAAGUCGGGGGUGAAAGCCUGUGGCUCAACCACAGAAUUGCCUUCGAUACUGUACGGCUCGAGACCGGAAGAGGUAAGUGGAACUGCGAGUGUAGAGGUGAAAUUCGUAGAUAUUCGCAAGAACACCAGUGGCGAAGGCGGCUUACUGGUCCGGUUCUGACGCUGAGGCGCGAAAGCGUGGGGAGCAAACAGGAUUAGAAACCCUCGUAGUCC